This 20789-nucleotide long non-coding RNA is filed under the name Brassica rapa (field mustard). RNAcentral's name for it is "long non-coding RNA (BRAP_LNC000273)". Lineage: Eukaryota; Viridiplantae; Streptophyta; Magnoliopsida; Brassicales; Brassicaceae. The record is from RNAcentral.
AAAGAUAUCAAGGUCUGCAAAUUUAGACGUCGUUGCGAUAUUGGGUGCUUUCCGUGAGAUGAGAAACGGAGGUUAAUGGGGAGAUUGAGAACAGCUUUUCUUGCCGUCUCUCUCGUUUUUCUUGUUUGCGUUUCCGAGGAGAUUAUCUCUCGACGCGGCGCCAACCGCGGCGAGGCUCACGGUGGCGAUGAUGUGGUAAGUUCAUCCUCCUUGCUUCGUUUUCUCGUUUUAGAAACAAAUCAAGAACGCAUGGAGCAAUCUUUUUUUUUUGGCCAAAUACGUAUAUAUGAAGCAAUCUUCAUUUAGGUUUUUAUUUUGUGCAUAUUCAGACAACAUGUUUGUUAUUCCGACCACAAGUUUAUUAUUGACGAACGUGUUAUUUUUCUGAUAGGCAGAACAAACAUGGAUACAUUGUAGAAAAGAAUUGAAAGAUAAGAACAGAGAUUGCCUUAUCUAUAUCCCUCCUCGUGUAGCAGCAGCUAAUGAUACGUACCAGAAACUAUCCGUCUUAACCGGUUGGUUCAGCAACUGGUUUGGACCUCUCCUUGAUUCUACUACAAGCUAUCCAACAAGAAAGCUGAUCGGUAAGCAAAAGAGAAAGAAAAAGAAAAAGAGAAAGAAGUUUAGAGUAUCUGCUCCAAACUUUGCACUUGGUCCUGCACCAGGUUUUGCUCCAGGUCCUUCUCCCCGUUUCGCUCCAGGUCCUGCUCCAACAACUCCUCAGAGUUAUGACCUUGUUGCACCUUCAAGCUCUCCUUCAUAUUCGCCAGCUGAGGCGCCGGAUGAAUCAAGCUUUGGUGGUCCGACUAAGAAGAGAGCAAAGAGUAUUGUUGCUCCUAGUCAAAGUGUUCCAGGUCCUCCUCCUCCUCCACCACCGGAGAAGAAGAAUGAUAUCUUGAUGGAUCUUAUCAUCGCUGUUGCUUCAACCGCUGUGUUAACGUUUUUUCUAGUUGCAUUGCUCUUCUUAUGUUGCUUCAGACGCAACAACCGCAAAAAUGCGGUUGGUCCUAGAAAUGGACCAAGAGAUGAAGGACCACUUCUACAUUUAUCUGAUUUAUCAGCUGGUAAAUGAUGUUUUUUAUUAAAUCAAAACGGUUUCACGUUUUAAUCUUUCAAGAACUAUAACUAACUCUUGUUUUGCUUAUUUUUUUCUUUAGGAUCUAAUGAGAACUCUCCAAAGGUUGCAGCCACGAGUAGGAGAUUCUUCACUGCUACUUCUAAGAAGAGAUCGUUUCUGUCUAGAGUAUCUCUAAAGAGAAACCAUCAUGACUUCCCACCAGCUGAAGCGUCGUCAUCCUCUGGACUUCCUCUUCCUCCUGGAAGAUCAUCAGGAGCUCCUCCUCUUCCUCCUGUGGCUCCACCACCUCCACAGGCUCCACCACCACCUCCUCCUAAAUCUAAACCUCCUCCUCCUGCUCCUCCAAAACUUGUGCGUCCUCCACCUGCACCACCAAAACGUCAAGGACGUAGCUCCUCUGGAGAUGGUUCUGACGUUGAUUCGGAGACCGGAGCUCCGAAAACGAAACUAAAACCGUUUUUCUGGGAUAAAAUGGCUAACCCUGAUCAGAAAAUGGUUUGGCAUGAGAUCAGCGCCGGUUCAUUCCAGUUAAGACUUUAAUUAUAACUUUUAAAACCUUUGUUUCUAGAACUUUGCCUAACUCGCUUUAUGCUUUUUAGGUUCAACGAACAGGAGAUGGAGUCUCUUUUCGGUUACAAUGAUGUGAACAAAAACAAGAAUGGUCAAAGAGGAGAAUCAUCUAGAGACUCUCCUGUUCAAUAUAUACAAAUCAUUGAUCCAAGGAAAGCACAAAACUUAUCUAUUCUUCUCCGAGCUUUGAAUGUAACAAUAGAAGAAGUCGUUGAUGCCAUCAAAGAAGGUAACGAGCUCCCAGUGGAGCUUCUCCAAACAUUGUUGAAGAUGGCUCCAACUUCAGAGGAAGAACUCAAACUUAGACUAUACUCGGGAGAUCUUCAUCUACUUGGCCCUGCGGAGCGAUUCUUGAAAAUUCUUGUUGAUAUACCUUUUGCGUUUAAACGUAUAGAGUCGCUUAUAUUCAUGAUAUCGCUUCAAGAAGAAGUCUCUGGCAUCAAAGAAUCACUCGCAACUCUCGAAGUAAGUCCACAAUUACACAUGACUUGCCUACUAUGUAUUUUAAUUUGAGUAGUGUUUAAAUCUAAAUACAAUUCAAGGCAUUAUUACAUAGAUUUUAGAGUUCACCAACUUUAAAUUAUCUUACAAUUUUAAAAUUUGAUGGAUUGCAAAAUAUUAAUAAUUUAUUUUAAAUCAUUAAUUGAAUAGUAUUCUGUUUUUUUGUUUUUUGUUUUGUUUCAGGUGGCUUGCAAGAAACUUAAAAACAGUAGACUGUUCAUAAAACUACUAGAAGCAGUUCUCAAGACAGGAAACAGAAUGAAUGUCGGAACUUUCCGCGGUGACGCGCAAGCUUUCAAACUCGACACGCUCUUGAAACUCUCUGACGUCAAAGGAACUGAUGGCAAAACUACACUAUUACACUUUGUUGUCCUUGAGAUCAUUCGUUCUGAAGGCGUUCGUGCUCUUCGCCUCCAGAGAUCAAGCAAAAGCUUCUCCAGCGUUAAAACAGACGAUACCAACACAGACACAAGUCCACAGUCUGUUGAACGUUACCGAAGCACUGGACUUCAAGUUGUUUCGGGACUAACCACAGAGCUUGAAGAUGUCAAGAGAGCAGCAAUAAUAGACGCUGAUGGAUUAGCUUCAACACUGAUGAACCUAAGUGGCUCGUUGACCAAUGCGAGGGAGUUUCUGAAGACGAUGGACGAAGAGAGCGAUUUCGAGAAAGCUUUAACUGGGUUCAUAGAACGUGCAGAUGGUGAUAUCAAGUGGUUGAAGGAAGAAGAAGAGAGGAUCAUGGUGUUGGUGAAAAGCUCUGCUGAUUACUUCCAUGGCAAAUCUGCCAAGAACGAAGGGUUGCGUUUGUUUGCUAUAGUGCGUGACUUCUUGAUAAUGUUGGAGAAAGUUUGCAGAGAAGUUAAAGAAACAACGAUGAUGACAUCCAGCAAAAAUCAUUCGAGUAAGAAGGAAACAAAGAUGAUUCCGGAAAGUAAUCAACCGGAUAACAUUCGACGGCAUUUGUUUCCGGCCAUUGCUGAACGGAGAGCUGACAGUUCGGAUGAUUCAGACAGUGACUAGGAUGGAAUAAGCAAAGCAGUUCGUUAUGUUAGUUUUUGUAUUAUGUUGUAUCAUUUCAGUUUCAAGUAAAACACAAACAAAAAAAAGUAACUUACAAUUUGUAUUUAUGUAUAAUUCUGUUUUUGUUUGUGCCCAGCUUUAUAAAAAUAGAUAGAUAGAUGGUAGGAACAAGAACACGAGAGCUUUUGUUACUAAAAGAAGAGAUACAACCUAGUCAAAUGAUUCUCCUCUAUGAAAAUUAUGUGAGCCUAAUCUAACAAGAAUAACAAUGGUAUCCUAACCCAAAGUUAUUGUUAAAUUCUAAAAAUCACAUAUAUGGUAAAAAAGCUAUACAUUAGAAUGAGGGGAAAGCUUGAGAGACUCCUUGCAGUGAAUGAGUAAGAGACUAUUUAUAGUAACUGUGUUGCCUCCCCCUCGCUUUCCUAGAAAAGAGAAAGCUUCUGAAUAAUAGAGGUUUCCUUUCCUUUUUUACCUAACUAUCCCAUGUCGCUUGAAAGACAUGCCUUCUGUUUUUGAGCCACUGCAAUAAUUCUCUAUCUAGUGACGAGUUGUUGACUACAGCAUCGAACAUCGGGCUUCCUAAUACUCCCAAGGUGCUUUUGAACAUCCAUAUUUUGUCCUUUGCCCAUGGCUUUUGAGGUUGCUUUGACUGUACAAAAAUAAGAUAAAAAUUUUAAAAGAUCACUAUCAUGGACAAUGGUGACAAAUGAAUAGCAUUUCGGAAGUGGGUCAAGUAUGAAGAGAUUACCAUCUGUGAAACCAUUGUUUUCACCGUCUUUGGGCCAUAAACACGAUGCUUUGAUGGCUUAUGAGCCUUUGCGUAGAAGGAAGCAACUUCGGGUAAAGAGAGGCAACCUCUGGUUGCUUUCACCAAUGUAAGAUCAGGAUCAGUAUUUGUCUGUUCAUACCAGUAAAUCAGCUGGCCGAGACAAUAGUUCUCGCCAUAUGUUUUCCGGUACUCCUUUAUACCCUCGCCUAACUUGUCCGCAUAUUUGGCCCCCAAAUCUAACGGGCUAAUUUGUACAGGAGAAGACAUAAAUGACUUGUAUUCCUGCCGACCAUAUCAAGACCCAUCUGUCAGUAGAAGUUUAACAAGACUUUGUCUUCUUUUAUCAUCCAAAUCAUACGAAAUAACUUACCCGAACUUUGAAAAAGCACUUUGUAUAGGCAUAUAUGUGAAUCAAAUCAGCUGCAGCAUCAUUCCGACACUUGUAUGUACAAGGUAGAUCUCGGACCUCAUCUCUCAACCUUCAUGGAAGAAAAUAUUCUUUGAUGUAAGUGUACAGUUUCCUAAAAGUACAAUGUUUCAUGCAUAUUGAUGCACUAACCAAAGUAAUGAUCUUUGAAGAUCCUUAAGGACGUCUGCAGAUCCAGAUGGAUCAUGGGCACGAAUCUUGGAUCUGAGUUCAUCAACAAUGCCCUCUUCCACGUGUGGCGAAAGGCACUGAAGGAUCUCCUCAACUAAGGAGCCAUCCCCGUUCCACAAAAAAGAGACUGUUUCUUCAGGAGUAAGCUUCUCCAGCGGAGGAGGAGCGUUCUUUGGAUCCCCAAACACACGUCUCAUAACAUAUCUUACCUGUGUUAUAACACUAAUUAGAGAAACUUCGAUUGGGAAAAAAUAUUUUACAAGCAAUUGCACAAAAAAUUUGAAACGCAACGCAGAUAACACGAUGUUUGGUUAUAUGAUAUGAAGAGAGAUUGCAGUCACCUUGUCAAGUGUGACAGCCAAAUUCUGAAGCCUCUGGUUGUAGACACCCUCAGCCUGUAUCAUCAAAGUUACAGAUAUAAUAAAGCAUAUAAAAGCUGGAGAAAAAAAUCAAAACCCAGCACAGAGUUCCAAAGCACAAAAGACAUGAACUAUUGAAAGAACCCGCAGAAAGGUAAAAAGGAAUGAUGUUCUGACCUGAACCUCAGCAUCACUUUUCUCAACAUCAAGGUGUAUGUCUGAAAAAUAUUUUCUCUUUUCUUCCAUAUUAUGCUUAAGAAUUUCCUCUGGAAGCUUAGUUCUCUCGAAAUUGAUGAACCGCACCUUUAUGCAGAAGAAACUUUCUGUCAGAAGCUGCACUCCCAUCAAUAGUGCUGCUAUAAACUAACAUAAAAUGAUUCAAGACUAACCAGAUGAGCAGAAUACGCAAUCACCCAAUCUGGCAGCCCACCAAGCAUACAACUUCCCAGUCCAGCUCUUCCCAACUCAAGAUAAUCUUCUUCUGAAACUGAAUUCAGUAUACAAGCUUCUAGCAUCAGUCUAUGUCGAUCCAGCAGACCAUGCCAUUCCUUCAACACCUGUUAUAUACAUGGUUCAGAAAAUUAUAUAGACAAUCAAAGGACAAAAGAAAUGCUUUUUAAACUUCGGUACAAAGACACUAAUUACUCAUUAGUGAACAAGCACACCAACCUCUGUCAUUAACCUUGCGUAUCUUAAUACCAGUUAAUAAUCAUAUAUAUGUUAACAUCACAAUUACCUUCUGAAAUGCACCUUCACCAGUGAGAUUCAAGUAGCUGCCUCGGCAUACUUGGCUACCACACAAGCAGACAGAAGCUUCAUAUUCUUCCUUACUCUGUUGCAGACAUAAAUAUCAUUCUUUUAACAGUAGAAUGGGAACAUAAAGAUUAAGAAGAGAGAGGGAAGAACAGACCUCAGUUACAGAAUUAUAAUCAAAAGUUAUCUCCUCGCCGUAUUCAAUCGGACGUACUGAAUAGAUGCCAAUCUGGUAGUGUCCAUCCACCGCAGUAACCCUGGAAGCACCAGUUGGCAAAGACGGAAAAUGAGUAACCCGUUUAAACUUGUUAUUAGGUAGGAAGACACUCAAGUAUCAAGAGUUCUCCCCUCCAUUUUUUAUUUUUUAAAGCAUGGACGCAUAGGUAAAAGGACGAGUAUUGCCUAAUAUGCCUACGAGUAGAGCAGAUAUCAUAAGCAAAUGUUGGUAAGUGUAUCCACAAAAUUUUAUAUCUAAGAAAUUUAUCUGUGUAUGUAUUGAUCUGAGCUUACUUAAGCAGGCUAGUUUAUGCAUGCAACAUGAAUGAAACUAAAUUAUUACAAUGGUCACGUGGUUCUACUCUCUAAACAAAAUUCUGGAAAAUUGGAUGAUUGCGGAAUUUAACUUACUUAGCUUCACAGUUAGGUCGGCAAGAAUGACAAAUUCGACUCGCAUAAUUAGCCUUGUGCAUGGCAUCAACAACAACUAAAUCAUAUCCAUCAGCGUCACCCUGCCAGUAACAUAACAACAUAAAAAAUAAGAAAAUGGUCUAAUAUAAUAUAUACAAGCCCAAUCAUCAUAUUUUCUUCAUACCUUCGGUCUCUCAAGAUAGAUAUUGUAAAACUCUGGUGCAGGAUCAGUUUUGUUUUCCUGCAAGGAACGAAUUCCAUCUUGCUUCUCAAACCACUUCCAAACAGGAUAAACCUACAAUAUCCAAAACAUACGUUCAGAGCUCCCUUCAGAGAAUGUUUCAUAUCCAAGAACAGCACGCCCAGUGAAUUUCAGAAAUUGUGCAGCUGACUAACUACCAAACAUAAAACUGCAAAGCUGCAAACCCACCUCUCCAAGAAAUUCAACAACAAAAUCGUCUUCCACAAAACCACCUUGUUUGUUGCAAACAACACCGAGGCCCUACAAAGGCAAAAAAGUAGCAACAAGAUAGAUUAACAAAAACAGUCCUAAAUAAAUUGAUGGAUUUCUAUGAAAGAAUGACAGAGCUCUAUACCUUCCGAUAAGACACAUAAUUAUCACCAGAACGACUUUCUAUAGCCUUUAAGACGCCUUGACACAUUUUCAUUGUUUGUAUAUCACACUCUUCACGAGCAUUCUCUUUGAGCUCUUCAAUCACAGGUCUUAAAGGGAAUACCAUGGGGGUGUUUCCAGAUCCAGUGAGAAACCUGACUUUCCUGUUCAGGGCACGUAAGACUACAUCUUCUAUAAAUGAAUGUUUAUCCUGCAGUGACCAGUCCAAUUCUCCGGGCAUUGAAUCAAGUAAGAGGUUAUGGGUGUAAGGAUCGAUUCCAUAAACCUCUUGCUCUAAAACCUCGUUGCCAAGAAGCUUUCUUGGUUUAUACUCCUUGACUUCAGGAAGCUCCAUAUCUAACUCUUCAAUGCCAUUUCGUUGUGCAUUCAGCUUCUCAUCAUAGUCCUCUGGCAAAGAAACCCGCAUCUUUCGUUGUACCUCCUCCUCGUCAGCGACAAUCGUGUACUCUUCAAUCAGUUCAUAUUUCCUUGUGACUGGUGGCACAAGACUAGCUUUGGUCAUACGUGCACCCCAUUCACGCUCUUCGGUCACAGAAUCAAAGGAUUCGUCUGCUGUAAAAUAUUUUUCAACACGUGAGUCCUGUGAUCGACCUUCUGAACGGAUAUCCGAUUCGCUUUCUGAAGCUGAGCUGUAAUUGUCAUUGUCAGAUAGCGCGGAAGAUGUUUCACUUCCCGAACCAAAUGAUUUACGAUUCAGUUUAGACAAACGCCUUUUGAUUUCGCGGUCAGAUGCAUAUUCUCCGUAGUCCAGCGCACCAUUUACACCAAAUGUGUCACUCGUCCUGCUCAUGUACUUCUUUUCAGUUACAGAUUUGCUCAACUUCUUGUUGUACUUAGAGGCUGAUGACAACCCUGAGCCAUCUUGCCACGACUUCAUCAAUUCAUCUCUUCUAUAUGAAGAAGUAGCCAUAGAGACCUCUUCUAAACGUGUGGCAAGUUGGAUAAACAGUAUGAUGAUUCGGUUCAUCUCUUUGGAGUCUCCCCGAUUCCUCUCUCUGGAUAUAAGAUAGAAUCAGAAGAAAUUUUACAAAACUAGUAUUAAGGAAAGCAAUAAAAACAGCUCCUACCUUUACUUAAGAACUAGGAGUCUAGGAAUAAAUGUCAAAAACAAGUAAUCCUACAUCCUAACAAACUGAGGGCCAAAAACCAAGCACAUGGGAAGAAAGCGGUUAUUGACUUGAGAAAUUAUAACCUAUAAUCCAGAAAGGACAUCAGCAGUCGUUCAACAUAUUGUUUGGCAAGUAGAAUCUUCAUAGUUACUUAUUUAUAAUUUGCAAGUCAAUAUUUGAAGUAUUAUUGGCAUAAUCAUGUACUAAAGAAGCUACCCAAAGAAAGAGGAAGGGAGCCUUACUUAAUUGCUUCCCUGCACAUCCGGCUGAUAUCCUCCUUGACAGAUUUCAAACCAUGACUAACGUAGUAACCGUUUUUCAUUUUUUCCUCUAUAUGAGCAACCUAGUAACCAAAGACACAUUAGGAUUAACUUUAACAAAUGGUAAAGAAAUAAGAGCAGACAUAAUAUACAGCAUACACGAAUACCAGAAAGCACCUUUAAAUCAAAGAAGUCAAAAGUAUUCUGCUUCAUGAUGCCCCUAAGGCUUGAAGAAAGGAAUUCCUCCACUCUCUUAUACCCGUGUUCUGACUUCUUAAUCGCCCAUCGCCUGAUACGAGCAUCCCUGGAUAGAAUUGCCGAUGAUUUCCGUGCAUCAUACAAUUUUGAGCGUUUGUAUAAGCUUCUUCGGAAUAACUGAUUGGCUGAGUCUCGCUUUUCCACUCGAUCAAAGUAAUCCUUAAGGUUACCAAAAUCAUCUGUAUCUCCUCCUAAUUCCAUAGACUUAUUAACAUUAGUCUGUUUCAAACUCCUUGACCUGGAAUGCAAGUCACCUGGUCCAGGAUGCUGGCAUUUGAGCCAACUUACUUUUCUAUAUUUCAAAGUCAAAUUUCCAAACUGGGAGCAGCCUGUGAUGUCUAUAGAAGAUAUAUGGGGAAAUAAACGAAGAAUUUCCUCAAGCAUGCUGGAAGUCACGUUUGUACAACCAACCAGAAUAAUAGAAUCAAUCUUCUCCGUGUUGUAAGUGUUCUGCAAGAGAAUGUCAUAUCAGAUCAAUUAAAAUACUAAAUUUUCUAAAAUACUGUAAACGAAAAGUACAGAGUGCUCACCAUGAUACUCCAGAGCCUAGAAUCUGUGCAGUUGGGACCCAAAGAAGAUAAGUCAACUUGUCUUGAAAUAUCCUUGUAUGAACUAACAAUGGCCUUCCAGUGUCUACAAGUCAUGGACGCAAAUGCAAGUGAUUUUACAUCAUAUCUCAGCAAAUGAAACACCCGUGCUAACACGUGACCAUCUAACAAAUCCCAGUACAUCCCCACGCUGCCAGAAGAUCCACUUCCUUCAACAUGGAAAGUAGCGUCCCCACAUAAAUCCUCAAAUGUCGACUCAUCCUUCUGAAAUAUUUGUGCAUCUUUCACUUCAGAAUGGUCUCCACUUUCACCAGCCAUCAAUCGAACUCUUUUCGUAUAUGAUGAUGAAUCAAAUUCUGAGGUUUAUGAACCAAAAACAAAAGAGAGAAGAGAACAAAUGUUUAAACAUACGAAAGCAGGAACUGCACAGUGUUAUAACCAGAAGAGAAUGAAGAAACAAAGGAAAUAGCCACCCAAGUUCAGAAACCGAUAAUAACUUGAAGAAAAGCAUGAGCUAAUAAGACGGAUGGGGUGGCAUUUAAGUUCUGGUAGUUAUGCAUACCUGAAUAUGGGUGCAUGUACUUGCCAGUCUCUUUCUUUGGCUGUCUUGCAUGAAUCCAAGAGUCUAAGACAUCGUUUAUGGCAGCAGAAAAUUCCCGAGUCUUGUAUGUUUUCAUAACCAAUUGAUGGAGUUUCCCACGGAAAUAACCAAGAAACUGAGGAUGCAUAGCAUGGAACGAGCUUAGACUUGUGUCCAUUUCAGAAUGCUUGAAAUCCUGCGACUCUGAGACAUCAAGGCUUUGACAAUCUGAAGGCAGAACUGGGGCUUUCCCCUUGCCACUGAUUUCAGAAGUUUUUGUGAUAGAAGUAACAGGUACCCAAAUUUUGUCAGAUUUCCUGAAGACACUAGUGUGGCGCUUUAUUAAACCUUUAGCAACCAAUAUCUGGAGCUCCGAAAAUGGCAAAGGUCCUUGUUCUUGCCCAGAACCAUCCAUGUAGAACCAAUCACCCAAAUGCAAUUGCAAAUCAUCGACUGUAAACAGACGAUCCCCAGGGGUGCUAACAGAUGCGUCAGUUCUCCAAAAUCCCUGCAUAUCUUGACUACCGCAAGCUGAUGACUGAGAAAUACUUUCGACGGAUUCCCUCUUGGAAUCACUAGAUGCAGGGGAUGGACGAGCAUGCCUUGAAGAGAACUUUUCCCCACCACGAACUUUUACAAGGGGAUCAGGAACUGAUGGAACUUGAUCAUUAACGACUAAUGAGUUAAGCCUAACUACAGACAGCACACUAGCUUUUACUCCCCUCGCCUGAUUUCUCUCAUCUACACCAGAAAAAGCCCACAGGGGAAGUUCCAGCCUAGAGCGGCUGCGAGGAUUAUACAAAUCAUCCUUGUGAUGCCAGCGAGGAUCCUCAUACCCAGACUUCUGCAUCAGGCAUAAUGGGAAACCAUCAUUCAGAACCAUUUUCUUUUUGUAAUCUCUAUCUUGAAAAGCUUCAUCGUGUCUUAUCCAGUCCCCGCCUGUGCAAGACCAACGACCUGAAAACCAGCUGCCUAUCUCAUCGCUCUCAGAACAAUCAACAUUUUCUGACUUCGAUUCUUCGAUGGCCAUUGCCUUGGGCUCUGAACGUUCCCACGACUCCUCAUUUAAUAGCAACUGAUUUACCACUUGAUAGUAGCACCAGAUGAUAUCUGCAAAUGCCAGAGUAGAACUUCUAAAUAGUGUCAUGCAAAACAUGUGGAUAAAUUUUUAAAAAAAAAAACAUGUGAAUAAACAAGAAGCUAUGAUUACUAAAAGUUGAUGUCGUCUAAAUGAAUAUCCAUGUUCAUGCACAAACCAUCAUAUGGCAGUAGACGGCCAUUACGUCUUUAACACACAUCAACACUUCCAAAUACUACAAACGAACUAAUAUAAAUAUAGAUGACUAUAUAAUAUCUUAAGUGAAUAUAAACGCUUGUAUCGUUACGUUUUCUGAUAGUAGAAGUAGGCCAAGUUAGGAAUAUAACUUGCCUGAAAGGAGGAGAAGCAAAUAGAGAAAAAAAUCAUAUCAUGCUAUAGAAAAAGUGCAAGUGGUGCCAACGAAACAUACCUUCAGAACUCACAAACCUUCUCGUCUCUUCAAGCUCAACUUUAAUCUGCACAGCUUCUGCAAAGCGAUAAAAAUAAGCCUAUCUUAGGUAUGGCAUAGAAGCCCCAUGGUGCAAUAAACUAAAUGUAUUAAGAAAAAUGCUUCAGAUAUUUGCUAGCAUUUUUGGCUGAAAACAUCAAAUUUCUGGCCGGAAAGAUAAUAUUUUACAUCUACUACAGUACCUCCAAGUGUUUCAAGUUCCCUGCCAGGGAUGAUAGUAUAGCCAUCCAAGAGACUCGCGAUCCUGUUAUCAAACUGGAAAUCUUCAUGAUGGCCCACUACAGUAUCAUUACUAUCUGGUAUGGACAAUGAUUCAGGCAAGGAAUCUUCAGCUCCUUGCUCCAUAUGAACUGCUUUGACAGCAUCUGCAAUAUCUUCUAAUAAAUUACCAGGCGCUUCAGGAGGAUUCACGAGCCGUGUCACAGCAUCUGACACGAUUGAUGGAAUAUUUAUGUUGACCACAGGAGAUGUUGCAUUUUCAAUAGUGACCCACCUAUUAUUAUCUGAAUGUUUAAUCAUAUGGUCAGAGAAAAGAAUGCCUUGCUCCACAAGAGCUUUAAGCUCGGAUAACUUUGCAGGCCCAUGUUCAGUGCCAUAGUAAUCAAGAUAAAACCACUCCCCCAAGGAUGAAUCUGCCGCCAUAGGCUCCUCGUGAGGUGGUGUAUCACAAAUGUCCAUAUCUACCUCCAUCGAUGGCAACUCUUCGGUAGUUGCUUCACCAACUAGCACAGACUCUUUUCCCUUUGCACACGCACUUGGAAUCUUGGAAGAAUCACAUACAGAAUUUUUCUCAGCCACCGGAUUAUUGUUAUUCAAAAUGUUUUUACCUUGCAAUUCUUUUCUUGAUGGAGACGACUCUUUUCCAUUAGAAUCCCUAUGCCUUUGCUUAUUCUCAAGCUCCAUACCAGUCUGAGAAUCCCUCCUCUCCCUAACUCCACUCUUUCUGCUUAUAUCUCUAUGGCCAUUACGUCUGGUACGAUCGCUCUGGGGAUCUUCCAUAUAUUUAGAAGUUCCGUCGCGGCGAUCACCGGACCAUUCAGAGUAACUUGGACUUCUUCUAUAAUCAUGGUGAUGGCUGCGGUCAUGUGGAGACCUUUUACGAGCAUGUGAAGGCUUCUCAAAGAUAUAUGGCGAUCUCUCCCGGGCAUAUGGCGACCUUUCCCGAUUGUGGGAACUUCUAUCCCUGUGGCCAUGGUACCUAGACCGGUCAUGUGGGGACAGAUCAGAUCGUGCAGGGCUGUGUCCAUGUCUGUCUGAAACAGCCCUGGCAGGGAAAUAUGAGUCUUGAUGCUUUUUAGGAUACUUUUCCAGAGAUGAGUGUUUUGAUGAAUAGGAAUCUCUGUAGUCUCUCUCAACAGAGUUCCGUGAAUAGUGGUCUGGGUGAAGAGAGCGGGAACAAUCAUCAGAAAGUUUUCUAUAUUUGGAGCUCCCAUAGUCCCCAUUAUCCGCAUAAAGAUGUUUGCGCUCAAAACUAUCCGGUUCAGCUCCAUGUCGCUUCAGUUUGUUCACAGUAGAAGAGUACUCUUUCCCAAGAUUAUUGGGAUCGUUGUAUUCGUUCUUAUGUAAGCUUUCCUCUAUUACAAUUUUAGAACUGACUCUCGUAGCUCUGUCAUUCCCACUUCUGAACUCUCUCCGGCGAUAGGUAUCCUCAUUCAAAAACCUCCCGCCGGGCGGGGUGCGUUCAUGUUCAUAGUCAUAAUCAUAUUUCCACGUUUUCUCUCUGUCAACUCCAUUCCUACGAGAUCUGUUGUAAGUAUGAUCAUCCUUUACCGUAUCCAUCUUAUGCCAUCUGUCUGGAAUGAACUCCCCCUUCUCAAUUUCAUUACCGGGAUCUCUCCAUGAUCUGAUUUCUCUCUCUUCUUUCCUGUACUUAUCUGCGGGUAAAUCCCUUCUCUCCACAUAAGAUUUAUCAUAUUGCAGGUUACUGCAAUCCCCAGAAAUCUCCCCUUUUUCAAUCUCAUUAUUCCGCAGUGACUUCACUGGAGAAAUCUCACCGGUCUCCAAAUCCCCAUGAGAAUUUAAUGUACCUAAUUCACCCUCUUCCACUUCAUCCUUAAACCCAGAAUCUCCACCGUUUUCUUCUUUAUUGCUACUUUCUCCUCCUUUUCCUUGCAAAAGUUCACUCUUUUUAUCCUGCUCUUUCUUCAGGACCUGUGAUUCUCCAGAAAGUUGCACUACCUGAUCUUUCGGCUGCUCUUCUGCUUGUUUCUGAGGCUGCUUGGGCUUCCUCCUGACAACUUUACGAAUAACCUUAACAAUUUUCUUCUUCUUAGGUGGCUGAGACGCUGAGGGUUUAGCUGGCUGGGACUCCGGAAGCUUAUCACUAGUUGAGAUUGAAGUGUGACCAUUCUCGGGAACCUUGGUAUCAAUGUUGCCUCCACAAAGCGUCUUCUCUGGAAGCUUGUCCAUGAUAUUCAGUAGAGGCAUGCAUGUGGCGACACCCCCAUCGCUCAUGGAAACAAAGCUUUUCUCAAGUCCCGGGGAUAUCAAUACUCAUGCUUCAGAACAUCCACCGCCAAAUUCAAGAACCUGUACACACCCAAGAAGCAAUCAGUGGCGAAAACUGAAUGUAGGGUUCUGCCCAGAGCGAGAAUCUGGAAACCCUACGGAGCCAAAUUGAUGAAAUUAGAGGAGACGAUGAGACGGGAAGACAGCGAAUUGAAGCGGGGAUUAUACCGGGGAGGGUAAGGAAACGUAGCGAAGGGGAUCAAAAAAACCCUAGAAUAGAGCUGGGAGGAAGACGAAGGAACGUGAGAAGGAUGAGAAAUUUCUGGAGAAUAAGAGAUCGAGGUCAAAGAAGACGAAUCGAGAAGGAAACCCUAGAAAGCUCUCGCUAAAUCUUAAUCUGGUUGUUCCCGUUUCGCCGGAAAAUCACCGUUGCGGCGUGUGUUCUUUCUCUCUCUGCGACCUGCGCUUCUCUUCUGAAUCGUUGUGUUCUCUCUCUCUCUCUCUCUCCGUUAUGUUUUCCUGAAAGAAGAAGCCGUCGUGUUAAUAUUUUAUUUUCUGUGUAUUUAUUUAUUUAUUUAUUUUUAUUUUUUAUAUCACCGUUUUCACCUUGACUAAUUUAGUUAUGAAAUUGCUAAUAGUACGAUUUAAUUUAUUGGUCAAAAGUAUAUUAGUAUGCAAUGGUAAAAAUGGUAAUUAAGAAUAGCUGUGAAUUGUAUUUGUAAAAAAUAGGUCCAAACACAUUUUGAAUGAUGUUUUCAUUGUAGUACAACGAGUGAAGUUUUCGUUAAUUUUGUUCUUAUAUAAAUAUUUGUUUUGAAAAAUAAUAAUUUCAUUAUAUGAACUUAACUUAUUAUUGAAUAUAUUAUAUUAUUAUAUAAUGUGCAAUAAGUUAAUAAUCUACUAAAAUAUUAAAUAUAUUUUUUCAACUGUAUGGUUGAUAAAAUCACAAGUUAUUUUCUCAUUCUAAUUCCUUUUAAUACAUUUCUCAAAAUGUUUUACUUAUCAUAUUUCUUCCUCAUAUUUUUUUCUAGUUUUCUUUCAUUGGGUUUUAUAGAAAAAUUCAACAGUAAAAAAUAGAAAAUAAUAUUAAAAUGAUAAUUAAAAGACAAAAUAAUGAAAAUACUUUGAAUAGUAACACUUAUUAAAACACUUCUCAAGAGUUUUUAUCUUUGUCAUUUUUUUUUUGUCACUAAUAUCUUUGUCAUUUAAAUAUGACAAAACAUGUGACUUUUUAGUAUAUUUGUAUAGUAGGCAUGUGAUUUUAUUAGCUUUUGCAUAUUUUAUAUGUGUUAAAAAAAAAAAUUUUUGAUCCAACAUAUUUUUACUGAAAACGAAAAUAUUUUCUUUUUUUCUAAACUGAGAUAAUUAUUUCUAUACUCAUCUUGUUCAUAAAAUUAUUAGUUUAAAACUAAUCUCUUUUUCUUAUUAACUUGAAAAAUAAAAUGAUAAUAUCAGUAACUGAUGAAAAUAAAAUUCCACAUAAUUUAUUUAACAAAGCUAAAAUAAUAUUUAAUGAGAAGCUUUCUGCAAUUAGUAACAAUAAUUUAUUCUGAUCAAAUCUACUAUAUUUAUAUGUCCUUUUAGCAUUCAAAAUUGGAUAAAAAUAUCAGAUCUACCAAAAUUUUAUAUCUUUACAUAUAUCACACUCUCGGGUCCGGAUCUGAAAAUAACAAUCAUACCAAAAACAAAAAUUGUGAAAAUGUUUACAUAUCAAAUUACUUGUUCAUACAUUAUUUACACGUUUUUACAGUUAAUUAACUUUUUCACAUGCGACAAAAUGGCAUAUUGUCAUUUACUCGUAAGACUAGCCCAAAAGUAAGGCGGCCACUUCCAACAUUUUUAGCAAUGAAAAUCCAUUUGGCGCUCAAACCAAACGCUAUGAGCGGUAAGAUUCUCACCGUUAAUAAACGGACAUCUUGACCCAAGACUUUUUUAUUAAACAACGUGGUGCGAAGCUUUGAAGAGAUUCUGAUUUGAUGAGCCAUUAAACACUUGGAACAACCCGUUACUUAUAAUGUGGGCUUUGUAAUGGGGGUCCAUUGGUGAUUGAUUACUCCUACAUUCUCUUAUUGAAGAACUUCUAAAACUUUAUUCCAAAAGCAGAGCAAAAUAAAAGCUUUGACAAAAAGUAACGACCACUCUAGGCUUUCUUAUCACAUCACAAAUAAAAAAUGCAUUUUAUCAUGAUGAAACUGAUUCACGGGAGAAAAAACAACACAAGAAUGCAAAAAUAAAAAGGUCCAGAUUCUAUUCAUGACAGCAUAUAAAUAAACAGAUGGCAUAAAGGUCGUCAAUAUCAUGACAUAACAAGAGUAUUAAUUGAUUCUGAGAUGAUAAUCAUGAUAUCUUCAAAUCCAAGGGAAAAGAAACCAAAUGGUGAACUACAACACUUUGUGGGCAGUUUUCGAGCUUAGGAAGUUUCCCCAGCUCGUUGUGUCACGCCAUUCACUAAAAGCUUAGUAAAGGACUCUGGCGGGUGGACUUGUACUCUCAUUCCCUGAUGUAGUCAGAAAUACCUCAAGCUCUAGCUUCUCAAAUGUCAAGCUUGUACUGUCCAUGGUCUAUACAUGUUUUGUUGUGUUAUUAACAUCUAAUUUUUUUUUUGAAUUAUAAAGAAGUAUCCUGCCUUCGGAAACUAGCUAAAGCCGCAUGUUAACAGUCUACGUUUUCGGCCCACGUGUCGGUCUCAUGUCCAUAGUGAUACCAAAAUUUUAAUUUUCCAAUGGCCUGGACUCGAACCCUAGUGGUUUCACUGUAUUGGGUUUCGCCCUCAGGUUAAUCUAGGCCCGGGCAUUUUACCCGGACCCGAAGACCCGACCCGAAACCGAUCCGAAAAAAUCCGGUCCGGGUAGGAACCGACCCGAUCAAAUUACCCUAUCGGGUCUUGUUGCAGAGGACCCGCGGGUCUUGGACCCGAUCCGACCCAAACGCGAAACCCGAUGGGUACCCGAAUUAAUAAUGUAAAUUAAAUAAAAUGCAUCAAGGGAGAAUCGAAGACGGGUUAUUUGUCAAGAGAACAUGGGGGUCAACCACUAGGAGACAACAAAUUGUUAUUGUAUCUCGCAUAGUUUAGUAUAUAUACACAUUUUAAUAUAAUAAAAACACAAAUUUUGAAUAAAAUUUUGAAUAUUUUAGGAUAUAUAAAUAUUUUCAGAUAUUUUUUUGUAUUUUUAGGUCUUUUUUAGAUCAAACCCGAAUCGAACCCGACCCGAAACCGAACCGUAUCCGAACCGAUAAAUUCUAAUUACCCGAAUGGGUCUAACUAUCUAAGACCCGACCCGACCCGGACCCGGCACGAUCCGAACCGAUCCGGAACCGAGAAUUUGAAAUUACCCUAUCGGAUCCUAAACUCUUAGACCCGAAAGACCCGGACCCGAAAGGACCCGAUCCGAACCCGACCCGGCGACCCGAAUGCCCAGGCCUAGGUUAAUCACCAUUGAACCACAUGCCCCUGUUUAUUAACGUCUAAUUAUGUCUAUUGUCCACUGUUUUCAUGGAUGUCUAAAACACCAUGUUCAAAAAAUAAAAAUAACACUUUUAAUAUAAUAUAAAACAAUAAAAAUAAGACACUUUUUAAUGUGGUGAUCAACAUAUACAUAAACGUUUCGAUCUUUUCUUAGGAGACCCGAGACCGUAAGGUAAGUAAGUAGAAACGUCGAUGGCUGUAUAUAUAUGUUGAUCACCACAUUCUCUGCGACACGAACACUUAGUAACUUGUACGUCUGGAAUCUUAAAAGAAGCCCAAAGGACCAUAAUGUUUUUGUUGUUUUCUACAUAUGAAUGAUUAUAUGAAUGCACUUAUGUAUCAAUAUAUAUGCCUGUUUGACUGACGUAGUAUGGGUGAAGGACACAACACAUGUACACAUUGAGUAAUGACCAUUGCGUAGUGUUUGUCCUUUUAACAAAAUUUAGAUACUUUUUCGCAAGAGGAGCGUAAGGCAGAAUGAAAUGAGAGAAAUAUUUUAUUAAUCAAAUUAAGAAUAUUUUUUAAUAGCAAUAUUAUCAUAUUCAUUGACAAAAAAAUAUUAUAAUAUUUAAGACAACCUUACUUUAUAUAUCUCCCUAAUAUUUACACCACACAAAAAUAAAAUCUAACUCAAACCCAACAGACGGUCGAGUCCUCAAUGCAAGAGUUAUCGAGUAUAGUUUGGGAACAAACAAUACUUAGAUUCACCUCUAUGGUACUAUCAAUUUUCACCUCACCAUUGAUCACCAAUCAAAGUGCUAUAUACAAAUAAUAAAAAAUAUUAAUUUUUCCAAAAAAGUAAAAUAGCUUCGUUAACAUUAACACCAUCAGCAAAACAUUUAACUCUAAACCUUAAAUACUAAAUUUAAAAUAUAAACCCUAAACCUAAAACCUAAGCCUUAUAAACCCUAAACUUUAACGAAAUGAGUUAGCGCCGCCGACGUUAGAGUUUAGGUUUACAGUUUAGAAUUCAGUGUUUAGAAUUUUGUUAACGAUCGACGUUAAUGUCAGCAUUUUUUUAAUUAAUUCUACAUGGUACUUUGAUUGGUGAUAAGAGAUGAGAUAAAUUUGACAGUUUAUUACAAGGGUGAACCCAACCCUAACCAUCAGUUUCGAGAAAUUUUUCCAUUUUGAUUUCAGACGAAGUUAUAUUUUCCCUUAACAAACGUGUGUGUGUGUGUGUGUUUUUGUUGGAAAAAUAAAAAAGUAGCAUCUAAUCUAUUAAUUUAGGGUCCUAAUUUUUAUCUACUAUUUAAAAGUCUUAGCAUGACCAUUUGAUUAAUUAUUUAAUAUGACAUAAUAAUUAUUCCUAGUCUAACAAAUCUGUUGAAAAAAUAUAUAUUUAAAUUUUAUUUUUAAUUAUAACAAAUUUGAUGAGAAAAUAUCUACCCAAAUCUUAUUAAAAGUUUUAAGUAUUUUUUAAAAUCAUACAAUAAUUAAUUUUGUAAUUAGUAAUAUAAUAUGAUUAUACAUUACUAUUAAUUAUUUUUUUAUUAUAAAACAAAAAAAUAAAAUUAUUUCCUAUUUUUAUAAAUUUUAUAAUGUAUUAUAUAAAAUAGAAGUACUAUAUGAAUAAAUAAAUAAAACUAUAUAAAAUUGGUAAAUUAAACUAUUUUAUUUUAAAAUUCUUUCAUUUAAAUAAAUAAAAUAAACUAUCAUUUCUUUCAUUUAAAUAAAUAAAAUAAACUAUUAUUCACCGUUAAAAAGGGUUAAAAUUCAUAAAGUAUGUAUAUUUUAUACAAAGAAUAUUAUCAUAUGUUAAACUUUUAUAUCUACAACUAUAUAUUAUUUAAUUAAUUUGAAACUCACAACAAUAUAUUAUCUAAAAUGAUUAUAUACAAAAUAUAAUAGUCAUAGCAAACUUUUAGUUCAUGCGUUAUUUACAAAAUAGGAUAUCAGAAAAAAAUAAUAAUUCAAAAGAUAUUAAUCAAAAGUCUAUUUUAACUACAAAUUUAUUGAGAGUGGUCUUUUUUAUAUAUUUUAUGUUGUGGCACCUACUGAUAUCUCUAUGUUUUUCAUUACAAGUAUGGUUUAUUGCGUGUUUUUUUAUCAUUCCACAAUGGUGUCUAAAACAAAGUAAAAAAUAUAAAACAAAUGAUUAUAUAUUAAUAAUGAUGAAUAAAAAACCUAAACAAUAUAAUUAUAUACUUACACAAUAUAUAACACUAAAAAAUCAUAUAUUUAAAAUGUUUAUGAUAAUGUUAAAUGUAUACAUUUAUAAAAUAAAAAUAUAUCCGCACGAACGUGCAGGUCAAAUUCUAGUUUUGGAUAAACGGCAGCUGUUUACGGUUUUAGCAUUACCGAUAUAACUGUUAAGAUUAGGAAUCCGAUCUUAGUAGAUAAAAAGGUUUUUAUAAAGGUAAAAAAAAUAUCAGAUUUCUUAAGCUGUAAAGAUACAAAUCUAAGAAAUUGUAAAAUAUUCAUUCAUACAAUCAAUAUAUGUACAAACCAUAAACCAAAUAUUUAGCAACUGAGUUUCUCUCUAGUUCUUUUGAUUUCGACGAGAUUGUUUUACCUUUGUUCUCAACAUUUUACUAGCCUUAACAUUUUUCUUUAGCUUUGUAGUUGAAAAGUUUAAAAGACAUAUGUUGAUAUUGAAUGACUCUUUCAUUACACUCCCCUUAAAAUUUAAAAUUCAAAUAGCAUUAUUCAAACAAUCACCUUACAAUUACAUAAAGUUUUCUUUUUAACUUAGAUCAAUAACAAAAAAUAAAUCCUUCUUAAUCCAUGUUUCCCCAAUCGUAAAACAUCAGAAGAACCUAGAUCUUGAGAUCUCACCAUUUUUCACUGUAUCAAAAGAAACACAAAGAGAUCAAGCCAAGAGAGAAGUCUUUUUCUGUGGAGCAGGACACUUGAAGUCACGAGGUGGAGUCUUGCCACAGUCGACGAGAAGCUCAAGAGCAAUGGGAAUAAUGAGGUCGAUGUUGAGAAGCUUCGCUCUAAUGGUGGUGCAAAGACAGACCGCUGCGUCAAGACCCACUAAACCGCCAAGAACUGGGCAACAAGUUGCCUUUGCAUAGCUUUUUCCUAGUCCGAUGUGAAUCAAGCCGCCAAGCACGUCCACACACGCGCCUAGCUUCAGUGCGUCGAUGGAGCACGUCUCCGGUUCAGGCGUUGGUGCCGGAGGUGGAGGAGGACACGGAGUUGGUGGAGGAGGCGGUGGCGGACAUGGCGUCUCUGGGGUUGGAGUUGGCGGUGGUGGCGGGGUUACGACUGGUGGGGUUGGAGUUGGCGGUGGAGGAGAAGGCGUAGGAGAUGGAGUGUACGGAGGUGGUGGCUUGACGGUGGGCGGUUUUGGAGUGUAAGGUGGAGGGGAUGGAGUGUACGGAGCUGGAGGCUUGACGGUGGGCGGCUUUGGGGUGUGAUGAGGUGGCUUGACGGUGGGUGGUUUGGGAGUGUGAGGAGGUAGUUUUGGGGUGUGAUGAGGUGGCUUAACGGUGGGUGGUUUUGGAGUGUGAUGAGGUGGUUUUGGAGUGUGAUGAGGUGGUUUGACGGCGGGUGGUUUUGGAGUGUGUUGUGGUGGCUUGACAGUGGGUGGUUUAGGCGGUUUAAUGGGAUGUUUGGGAGGUUUAACGGGGUGUGGAGAUGAUUUUGGAGGGUCACUGCAGUCACAAGCGUAAGAGACGGCGCAGAAACCAAGGAGGAGAAGUAUCAAAAAGGAGAG